RNAcentral lists this transfer RNA (73 nucleotides) under Alistipes sp. RNAcentral's name for it is "tRNA-Gly". It matches the Rfam family "tRNA". Rfam says of the family: Transfer RNA (tRNA) molecules are approximately 80 nucleotides in length. Their secondary structure includes four short double-helical elements and three loops (D, anti-codon, and T loops). The record is from RNAcentral. Lineage: Bacteria; Pseudomonadati; Bacteroidota; Bacteroidia; Bacteroidales; Rikenellaceae.
GCGAUAGUAGCUCAAUCGGCAGAGCGUUGGUUUCCCAAGCCAAAGGUUGCGAGUUCGAGCCUCGUUUAUCGCC